UUUAAAAACUACCCAGAACCGAGAGAUAAAAGAGCAGUGAAGAAGGCUAAAGAUACAAAGAGCAAAGAAAUUCUUGAGAAAGAUUAUCUCAACUCUGUGAAGCCUAGCAAUAUUUAAGACCCAGAUAAUAAAUUACCAGAUAAGUCCAAGAGUACAGUAUACUCCCUCCCAUCCAAAUUAUUUCAUGUUUUAUCCUCUAAAAGUUAGUCCAAAAGAAAAUAGUAUUUAGUUCUAUUUUUUAAAUUUACUCUCACACAUUUUCAUAUUCUCAUAAUAACUAUGUGAACCUUAAAAAAAAUUAUAAUUAAGGGUAUCUUAAUCAAAAUACCUCUUAACUUUUAGGAGUUAAUAAAUUUCUUAAUUCAUGUGUUCAAACUUAAAACUUCAAUUAUUUUGGAUCGGAGAGGAGAGAAUAAUUUUUAUUGCAUUUCAUACAAUUAGUCAAUGCCGUGUUGUCCCGCCCCAAGUGUUAUUUCUAAGUAAAAUAAAAUAAUAUAAUAAAUUGUCUUUUGUUUUUAAUUGGCAGCUUGGUGAGAUACCUUGCUGAAUUUAACGAAAUUCACUUCUUCGGGGACAAGACAUACAAGGGAGGAAAUGACUACGAGAUUUUUUAGUCAGAAAGAACUCUCGGUCACACAGUUACUAGUCCGGAAGAUACAGUGAAGCAAUGUUCAUUCUUAUUCCUUGGCAAGGAUAAUGCAAGUUCUUGAGCAGGUCUCAAUUUUUCUAUAUAUGCGCUGUUGUAGUUGUAUGUCAAUUUUUGAGUUUGUAAUUUGUGUUCCCAGGGAACAAGUGCAAAGAAUGCUUGUAGUUAGUGUACUCAUCAAAAUCUGUAUUCUUUGUUUGUUUCCAUUCUUGAAGUUAAUAAUUUAUAAAGUACUCCAAUAUCUUUGCUUUAAACUAUGAUAAAUAAAAUCUCACUUCAAUAAAUGGUUAUC
Lycium barbarum (goji berry) is the source of this 938-nucleotide long non-coding RNA. RefSeq lists it as uncharacterized. The transcript has 3 exons. The record is from RefSeq and is a predicted model, not a curated record. Lineage: Eukaryota; Viridiplantae; Streptophyta; Magnoliopsida; Solanales; Solanaceae.